This 472-nucleotide ribosomal RNA is filed under the name uncultured bacterium. RNAcentral describes it as "partial 16S ribosomal RNA". It matches the Rfam family "Bacterial small subunit ribosomal RNA", at positions 330 to 793 of the family's 1533-position model. The record is from RNAcentral.
CCCAGACUCCUACGGGAGGCAGCAGUUAGGAAUAUUCGUCAAUGGGGGAAACCCUGAACGAGCAAUGCCGCGUGAAGGAAGACGGUCCUAUGGAUUGUAAACUUCUGUUGUUAAGGAAGAACGACCCAAGUAGGAAAUGACUUGGGAGUGACGGUACUUAUCAAGAAAGCUCCGGCUAACUACGUGCCAGCAGCCGCGGUAAUACGUAGGGAGCGAGCGUUAAUCGGAAUUACUGGGCGUAAAGCGCUCGUAGGCGGUAUGUCAAGUCAAGGGUGAAAUCCCCGCGCUCAACGUGGGAACUGCCUUUGAAACUGGCAAACUGGAGUGUGUGAGAGGAUAGUGGAAUUCCAGGUGUAGGAGUGAAAUCCGUAGAUAUCUGGAGGAACAUCAGUGGCGAAGGCGACUAUCUGGCACAUAACUGACGCUGAGGAGCGAAAGCGUGGGUAGCAAACAGGAUUAGAUACCCGCGUAA